This 687-nucleotide ribosomal RNA is filed under the name Brucella intermedia. Its description in RNAcentral is "bacterial SSU rRNA". It matches the Rfam family "Bacterial small subunit ribosomal RNA", at positions 19 to 753 of the family's 1533-position model. Lineage: Bacteria; Pseudomonadati; Pseudomonadota; Alphaproteobacteria; Hyphomicrobiales; Brucellaceae. The record is from RNAcentral.
CUGGCUCAGAACGAACGCUGGCGGCAGGCUUAACACAUGCAAGUCGAGCGCCCCGCAAGGGGAGCGGCAGACGGGUGAGUAACGCGUGGGAACGUACCAUUUGCUACGGAAUAACUCAGGGAAACUUGUGCUAAUACCGUAUGUGCCCGUUAAGGGGAAAGAUUUAUCGGCAAAUGAUCGGCCCGCGUUGGAUUAGCUAGUUGGUGGGGUAAAGGCUCACCAAGGCGACGAUCCAUAGCUGGUCUGAGAGGAUGAUCAGCCACACUGGGACUGAGACACGGCCCAGACUCCUACGGGAGGCAGCAGUGGGGAAUAUUGGACAAUGGGCGCAAGCCUGAUCCAGCCAUGCCGCGUGAGUGAUGAAGGCCCUAGGGUUGUAAAGCUCUUUCACCGGUGAAGAUAAUGACGGUAACCGGAGAAGAAGCCCCGGCUAACUUCGUGCCAGCAGCCGCGGUAAUACGAAGGGGGCUAGCGUUGUUCGGAUUUACUGGGCGUAAAGCGCACGUAGGCGGGCUAAUAAGUCAGGGGUGAAAUCCCGGGGCUCAACCCCGGAACUGCCUUUGAUACUGUAAGUCUUGAGUAUGGUAGAGGUGAGUGGAAUUCCGAGUGUAGAGGUGAAAUUCGUAGAUAUUCGGAGGAACACCAGUGGCGAAGGCGGCUCACUGGACCAUUACUGACGCUGAGGUG